GUGUCAGCCGCCGCGGUAAAACCAGCACCUCAAGUGGUCAGGAGGAUUAUUGGGCCUAAAGCAUCCGUAGCCUGUUCUAUAAGUUUCCGGUUAAAUCCAUUAGCUCAACUAAUGGGCCGCCGAAAAUACUGUAGAACUAGGGAGUGGGAGAGGUAGACGGUAUUCGGUAGGAAGGGGUAAAAUCCUUUGAUCUAUUGAGGACCACCUGUGGCGAAGGCGGUCUACCAGAACACGUUCGACGGUGAGGGAUGAAAGCUGGGGGAGCAAACCGGAUUAGAUACCCGGGUAGUCCCAGCUGUAAACGAUGCAGACUCGGUGAUGCGCUGGCUUGUGGCCAGUGCAGUGCCGCAGGGAAGCCGUUAAGUUUGCCGCCUGGGAAGUACGUACGCAAGUAUGAAACUUAAAGGAAUUGGCGGGGGAGCACCACAAGGGGUGAAGCCUGCGGUUCAAUUGGAGUCAACGCCAGAAAUCUUACCCGAAGAGACAGCAGAAUGAAGGUCAAGCUGGAGACUUUACCAGACAAGCUGAGAAGUGGUGCAUGGCCGUCGCCAGCUCGUGCCGUGAGAUGUCCUGUUAAGUCAGGUAACGAGCGAGAUCCCUGCCUCUAGUUGCCACCAUUACUCUCAGGAGUAAUGGGGCGAAUUAGCGGGACCGCCGCAGUUAAUGCGGAGGAAGGAAGGGGCCACGGCAGGUCAGUAUGCCCUGAAACUUUGGGGCCACACGCGGGCUGCAAUGGUAGUGACAAUGGGUUCCGAAUCCGAAAGGAGGAGGCAAUCCUCAAACACUACCACAGUUAUGAUUGAGGGCUGUAACUCGCCCUCAUGAAUAUGGAAUCCCUAGUAACUGCGUGUCAUUACCGCGCGGUGAAUACGUCCCUGCUCCU
This 883-nucleotide ribosomal RNA is filed under the name uncultured archaeon. Its description in RNAcentral is "bacterial SSU rRNA". It matches the Rfam family "Archaeal small subunit ribosomal RNA", at positions 455 to 1337 of the family's 1478-position model. The record is from RNAcentral.